This 1160-nucleotide ribosomal RNA is filed under the name Gramella sp. MAR_2010_96. Its description in RNAcentral is "bacterial SSU rRNA". It matches the Rfam family "Bacterial small subunit ribosomal RNA", at positions 125 to 1286 of the family's 1533-position model. Lineage: Bacteria; Pseudomonadati; Bacteroidota; Flavobacteriia; Flavobacteriales; Flavobacteriaceae. The record is from RNAcentral.
UCUGCCUUUAAGCGGGGAAUAGCCCAUGGAAACGUGGAUUAAUACCCCAUAGUAUGUAGACUUCACCUGGAGACUACAUUAAACAUUUAUGGCUUAAAGAUGAGUAUGCGUCCUAUUAGUUAGUUGGUAAGGUAACGGCUUACCAAGACCGCGAUAGGUAGGGGUCCUGAGAGGGAGAUCCCCCACACUGGUACUGAGACACGGACCAGACUCCUACGGGAGGCAGCAGUGAGGAAUAUUGGACAAUGGAGGCAACUCUGAUCCAGCCAUGCCGCGUGCAGGAAGACGGCCCUAUGGGUUGUAAACUGCUUUUAUACGGGAAGAACCACAUCUACGUGUAGAUGCUUGACGGUACCGUAUGAAUAAGGACCGGCUAACUCCGUGCCAGCAGCCGCGGUAAUACGGAGGGUCCAAGCGUUAUCCGGAAUCAUUGGGUUUAAAGGGUCCGUAGGCGGAAUAAUAAGUCAGUGGUGAAAGUCUGCAGCUCAACUGUAGAAUUGCCAUUGAUACUGUUAUUCUUGAAUUAUUAUGAAGUGGUUGGAAUGAGUAGUGUAGCGGUGAAAUGCAUAGAUAUUACUCAGAACACCUAUUGCGAAGGCAGAUCACUAAUAAUAUAUUGACGCUGAGGGACGAAAGCGUAGGUAGCGAACAGGAUUAGAUACCCUGGUAGUCUACGCCGUAAACGAUGGUUACUAGCUGUCCGGCCUAAUUGAGGGCUGGGUGGUUAAGCGAAAGUGAUAAGUAACCCACCUGGGGAGUACGUUCGCAAGAAUGAAACUCAAAGGAAUUGACGGGGGCCCGCACAAGCGGUGGAGCAUGUGGUUUAAUUCGAUGAUACGCGAGGAACCUUACCAGGGCUUAAAUGCAGUCUGACAGGCGUGGAAACAUGCCCUUCUUCGGACAGAUUGCAAGGUGCUGCAUGGUUGUCGUCAGCUCGUGCCGUGAGGUGUCAGGUUAAGUCCUAUAACGAGCGCAACCCCUGUUGUUAGUUGCCAGCGAGUCAUGUCGGGAACUCUAACGAGACUGCCGGUGCAAACCGCGAGGAAGGUGGGGAUGACGUCAAAUCAUCACGGCCCUUACGUCCUGGGCCACACACGUGCUACAAUGGUAGGGACAGAGGGCAGCUACCCCGCGAGGGGAUGCGAAUCUUCAAACCCUAU